RNAcentral lists this long non-coding RNA (1638 nucleotides) under Bos taurus (domestic cattle). RNAcentral's name for it is "long non-coding RNA NONBTAT000176". Lineage: Eukaryota; Metazoa; Chordata; Mammalia; Artiodactyla; Bovidae. The record is from RNAcentral.
AACAAGACAUUGAUAAAUAGCAGUAAUUAGGUACAGUAUUUAUUUAUUUUAUGUUUUUUUUUUUUCAGUGUUUAUUGUCAGUAAGCCCUGGAGAAUUUAGCUUGCGUUAGAUUCAGUUUUACUGACAUUUUUCCCCAUAUUUAGUUGUGAAUGAGGAAAAUUGUACUCAUUUGCAAAAUCCUUGUUAUUUGUUUCCUACCGUCAUUUAAAAAUAAUCAGACUUGGACUGUUUUAACCGUAAGGUUAGUUUGUGAUAAGAACAAAAAAUUCAUGAAUACUGGAAGUAAUAUGGAAAUCUCAUGGAAGGCAAUGUUAAAAAAUGUCCACAAAUCAGCAUUUAUAGUAACAUUGGUAUAGUGCAGUAGUUUUAGUUUGUUUCCUUUUAGAAAAGCUGCAGGAACCAAGAAAGGAAACAUAGUGGUUUUAUUUGUUAUGCCCCUAUUAUUUGAAGAUUUUCUUUUUCCUUAAUAGAGGCUACUUCCUCUCAAUAUUCAAAAGUUAUACUCUGGUCAACAUUUUUGCUAAUGUAAAAUAUGUCUCUUUACCCAUUGCUGAAUUUGAAAGGAUGUUGAAUUUCCAAUCACUGAAAAAAAGAAAAAAGCAAACGCACUUCAGCAACAUCAAAACAUUUCUGCUUCUCAUAGUAAAAUCUAAGUGUUUUUGUAGAUUAUAAAGAAAAUAUUUCUUAGCAAUGAAAUUACUGUUAAAACAAUUUCAGUCAGAUACUUUUGUGAAUAGAAAAUGUCUGUAGUAGAUAAGUAGAAAAAUAUAAAAUGUCUGUUCACAUGUUUUAUUUUUAGAACUGAAUGGAGAAAUGCCAAAGAGGAAGACUUCACUGCAUUAUAAAUAUAUUCAAGUGUUCUUUUGAACUUUAUAAAAAUUUUUACUAGACUUAAAAAUUGAAAAAGAUCUUUGUGCAAAGGUCUUUUAAGAGAAAAGUGUUCAAUUUAUCAAAAUCUCUAUAUAUAGUACCAGCUUUAACUAAAGCAUUUUAAGAUUUUUUUUUUUAAAGUUCGAAUUUCUCCGAUAUAUGAGAUAGUUCAGGACAGUCUGUUAAGAGUUCUUAGAGGAAACGAUUUGCAAGACAGAAUGGCUAAUCUCAUACUCUAAAAUUGGAAUUUAAAAAAUUUGAUUGUGUCUGAAAAAUAGAAUGGCAGUGUUGGAAUUUGGAGCCAAUAGUUGAGCAUAUUCUCUAGAAUAAUACACUUUAAAAAAAAUUGUGUCUGUCUUCAAUCAUAUUUAGGAGGCUAUGUAUAAAUAGUCUUGAAGUCAAUGUAGUUUAUUUAAAAGGUAAAAAUGCAUUCUGAAAGGGAUCAUUUAUAUAUAAUAAUCUGAAGACAUUUUCCAUAAAACUAUAUUUUGGUUGGUUGUACAUCUUGCUAGUGUUUUUUGAAGUACAUAACUUUUAAAAUAUUAACUGUCUUCUAUGAUUAGAAUAUGUGAAUGAAUGUUUGGUGUCAGGAAUGUUUCGGUACCACUGUUCUCACGGGAACCACUGAUGUAUCGGCAGAUACUAUUGUGUAUGACGUGUUCUGAAGAUCAUAGUUGCUGUGCGUAACAUUGUGCCUCUUAACUUUGUGUGCACACAGGUGGUUUACAUUUUAAUGUAAAUAAAUGCCACUUUGCAGUUUGUUUUUU